This 253-nucleotide ribosomal RNA is filed under the name uncultured bacterium. RNAcentral's name for it is "partial 16S ribosomal RNA". It matches the Rfam family "Bacterial small subunit ribosomal RNA", at positions 524 to 776 of the family's 1533-position model. The record is from RNAcentral.
UACGUAGGGGGCAAGCGUUGUCCGGAUUUAUUGGGCGUAAAGAGCGUGUAGGCGGUCAGGUAGGUCCGUUGUGAAAACUCGAGGCUCAACCUCGAGACGCCGAUGGAAACCAUCUGACUAGAGUCCGGAAGAGGAGAGUGGAAUUCCUGGUGUAGCGGUGAAAUGCGUAGAUAUUGCUCGGAAGGCCAACGGCGAAGGCAGGUUACUGGUACGCAACUGACGCUGAGGCACGAAAGCGUGGGGAGCAAACAGG